UUAAUACCGCAUACGUCUACGGGAGAAAGGAGGCGCAAGCUUUCGCUAUCAGAUGAGCCUAAGUCGGAUUAGCUAGUUGGUAGGGUAAAGGCCUACCAAGGCGACGAUCUGUAGCUGGUCUGAGAGGAUGAUCAGCCACACCGGAACUGAGACACGGUCCGGACUCCUACGGGAGGCAGCAGUGGGGAAUAUUGGACAAUGGGGGCAACCCUGAUCCAGCCAUGCCGCGUGUGUGAAGAAGGCCUUUUGGUUGUAAAGCACUUUAAGCAGGGAGGAAAAGUUGAUGGUUAAUACCCAUCAACCGUGACGUUACCUGCAGAAUAAGCACCGGCUAACUCUGUGC
RNAcentral lists this ribosomal RNA (343 nucleotides) under uncultured Enhydrobacter sp. RNAcentral's name for it is "bacterial SSU rRNA". It matches the Rfam family "Bacterial small subunit ribosomal RNA", at positions 163 to 508 of the family's 1533-position model. The record is from RNAcentral. Lineage: Bacteria; Pseudomonadati; Pseudomonadota; Alphaproteobacteria; Hyphomicrobiales.